RNAcentral lists this ribosomal RNA (322 nucleotides) under uncultured Oomycota. RNAcentral's name for it is "partial large subunit ribosomal RNA". It matches the Rfam family "Eukaryotic large subunit ribosomal RNA", at positions 40 to 358 of the family's 3401-position model. Lineage: Eukaryota; Oomycota. The record is from RNAcentral.
AUAUCACUCAGCGCAGGAAAAGAAAGCAACAGCGAUGCUCCUAGUAACGGCGAGUGAACAGGGCAGAGCCCAAGCCUGAAUCGGUGUUCUACGGACAUCCGAAAUGUGGCGCAAGCGGCGGCAUAGAUCUACUGGCAUCGAGAUAAGUCUCCUGGAAUGGGGCAUCUUAGAGGGUGAUACUCCCGUGAUUCCUUGGUCGGCGUGCGCGUACGACACGUUUUCUUCGAGUCGCGUUGUUUGGGAAUGCAGCGCAAAGCAGGUGGUAAAUUCCAUCUAAAGCUAAAUACUGGUGCGAGACCGAUAGCGAACAAGUACCGUGAGG